Molecule: long non-coding RNA, 2022 nt
Filed under: Homo sapiens (human)
Lineage: Eukaryota; Metazoa; Chordata; Mammalia; Primates; Hominidae
Description: HSALNT0392112
Source: RNAcentral
CGUCUGCGGUGUUACCCACGACUGCCUGGGACCUGGCCAAGGGCUCCACACACCAAGACCAAGGCAGCAGGAAGGAGAAAGGAGGGAAGGUAAAAGACUACUGAAAAGCUUUCAGCUGGGGCUGGGCAUGGAGGCUCACACCUGUAAUCCCAACACUUUGGGAAGCCGAGGCUGGUGGAUCACUUGAGCCCAGGAGUCUGAGACCAGCCUGGCCAACAUGGCAAAACCCUGUCGCUACAAAAAAUACAAGAAUUAGCCAUGUGCACCUGUGGUCCCAGCUCCCAGGGCCGGGAGCCUGAAACCAAGGUGUCCACAGGGCCCUGCUGCCCCCAGAGGCUCUGGGCAGAGCCCUUCCGCCUUUCCAGCUCCCCCUGGUUCCCGUGCUCCUCGGCCUGUGGCCCCAUCACUCUGGCCUCUGCCUUCAUCUCAUGCCGAGAUCCCUGAAGCGGGCCCAGCUCCGUUCACUGCUCCCCCGGCCUCCUGCUGUUUCCCACACGCAGCCAUGGUACAGGGCAGCUCAUCCCACCACCUCCCCAACCGCAGCCUCCAGGGAUGUACACCCUGCCUCAGGGGCUGUGCCUGGGCCCUGGCUGGUGGAGGGCACAGCCGUCAGGGAAGGCCCUCAGCUGCAGGAUGCCGUGCCUCAGAGACCAACCAGGCCCUCGAAGGCACUGUGGCCGGCCCAGAUGUCAGCAGCUCCAGCAAUUAGGCUGGGACAGAUGGUGCCUGGUGACACAAGGGGACUGUGGGGGCCACAGGGGACCCUGCUCACCUGGACCUACCGUGGAGGCCAGGGAGGGAGAUGGACUCGAAGGGCGGAAGGGCCCAGAGAAGGCACAUUUGCAGAGCAGCGGCCGCAUUUCCAGAGCUCGGGAGCCCAACAGGAAUCCCGUCUGGCCAUGGGACCACCGCCCUUGGGGCUGGGGGAUGCCGCAGGGGACGGCAGAGGGCAGACAGGCCAGGAAAAGGGGAGGGCAGAGGGCAGACAGGCCAGGAAGAGCGCCUGCAAGUGCCCAAGGAAGGGACCAAACCCAGGCCCCUGGACCAGAGCGGCCGCCUGGUGGGGCAGGCUGGAAGGGGCCAAGGCCAGCGCCAAGGGGGAGCAGGUGAGGGACCCUGGUGGGCAUCUGUGGGAACAAGGCCACGUUUCUCCCUGCGCACGCUUUAAUCAAGGACAUUCCUGUGGUUCUCCAAAAGUGUCGCACACUACAUGGGUGUCGUGAGCUGGGCUCCGUGAGAGUGUGCGGGUGGCUGGGGGCAGCAAGGGAGCAGCAAGGCCUCAAACCCGGGCGGCGGCCUGGCCUGCGCGCCAGGAUGUGCGGUGUGAGUUUCCCGAGCUGCAGGAACAAGGUCCACAGACUGGGGAGCUUCACACAACAGAAACUGCCUCGCAGUUCCCGAGGCCAGAGCCCAUCGGGGUGGCUCCCUGAGGCCGUGAGCCCGGACUGUCCUGGGCCGCCCCCUCUUCCACAGGCUGAGAUCAUCCUUGGCGUCUGUUGGCCUGCGGCCGCCUCGCCCAACCUCUGCCCUCAUGUCCACACGGGUCCUCCCUGUGUGCAUGUUGGUGUCUGGAUCUGCCCUUUCUACUGUGGGGCAACUGUCGUCGAGGAUAGGGCCCACCACACAACACGGCCUCAUCGUAACUAAGUAUAGUCAGCAGUGAUCCUAUUUCCCAAUAAGGUCCCAUUCUGAGGUCCUGGACUUCAACAUGUGAAUUUUGGGGGCCACAACUCUACCCUGGCAUGCAGAGAGAGAAGGGGGGCGUGGAGUCCCCCUGGGGGGAAGUCCCUUGGGAAGUCACAGGCCCCCUUGGUGGGGCAAUUGGGACGUGGGUGUGAGGGUCCUGGGUACAGGGAGCCUGCCUACCAAGGCUCUGCCGACAGCUAUUUCUAAAUUCCUCGUGGAAAAUACCCUGUGGCCCUCCUCAUCUGGAGCGAGCGACGGGCUGGAGGGUGUCUGAGCCAGGCUGGUGCCGGGGAGCAGAUGUGGGUGGCCCAACCCAGCCCCUUGUUCUUGUUCCCC